Molecule: ribosomal RNA, 633 nt
Filed under: uncultured bacterium
Lineage: Bacteria
Description: bacterial SSU rRNA
Rfam family: Bacterial small subunit ribosomal RNA (bases 1-542)
Source: RNAcentral
CCUACGGGAGGCAGCAGUGGGGAAUUUUGGACAAUGGGCGCAAGCCUGAUCCAGCAAUGCCGCGUGAGUGAAGAAGGCCUUCGGGUUGUAAAGCUCUUUUGUCAGGGAAGAAACGGUGGAGGCUAAUAUCCUUUGCUAAUGACGGUACCUGAAGAAUAAGCACCGGCUAACUACGUGCCAGCAGCCGCGGUAAUACGUAGGGUGCAAGCGUUAAUCGGAAUUACUGGGCGUAAAGCGUGCGCAGGCGGUUUUGUAAGUUUGUCGUGAAAUCCCCGGGCUCAACCUGGGAAUGGCGAUGAAGACUGCAAGGCUAGAAUCUGGCAGAGGGGGGUAGAAUUCCACGUGUAGCAGUGAAAUGCGUAGAGAUGUGGAGGAACACCGAUGGCGAAGGCAGCCCCCUGGGUCAAGAUUGACGCUCAUGCACGAAAGCGUGGGGAGCAAACAGGAUUAGAUACCCUGGUAGUCCACGCCCUAAACGAUGUCUACUAGUUGUCGGGUUUUAAUUAACUUGGUAACGCAGCUAACGCGUGAAGUAGACCGCCGUUAGGGGAGUACGGUCGCAAGUAUUAAAACCGUCGAAAAGGAAUUGGACCGGCUGAGACGUACGCCGACGGACGACGACGAGGGAGGAGG